RNAcentral lists this long non-coding RNA (839 nucleotides) under Homo sapiens (human). RNAcentral describes it as "HSALNT0094263". The record is from RNAcentral. Lineage: Eukaryota; Metazoa; Chordata; Mammalia; Primates; Hominidae.
CAGAAUCAGACUAUGUGUGUACAGUUGAAAGCAAAAAAUAAAAAUAAAAUUAUGCUUAAUAAAAGUUAUCUAAGUAGAGAAUCAGAGCUUACUUCGGAACACCAUGAAGAAUAACACAAAUGUCUGGCCAUUUCUUUGUACGUAACCAGCAAGAAGAAUCAUCCACUCAAACAAGGCUAUGUGACAUGCCAUAGAGGUUUAAUGAGGCCAGCAUGUUUCCUGAAAACUUGUCUUGCAAAAGGUUUCCCUGUUUACAGUAUUUCUCUGCAUACUAAGGUAUUGCUCUGGCACAUUCAAAAGUGAACAAAGAGCUAGUUGUUAAUACAAAAAAAGCACCCCCCCUUUCCCAUGUUAUCUGAUACCUCGUGGCUAUAAGUGAUCUAAAGAUGUCUGGGUGCUGAAGCAAAUAAAUGGAAAGAAGCUGUUCUGACAUUUGUACUCAGACUUUUGAGUGGAAAGUUAAAUAAGUUCUGCUUCUUACAGCUUCUUAUAGAUAAGGAUCUGUAGUGGGCUCAUUUUCCCUUGGCCACUUUCCCACAUCCUAAUCCAGAUUUUGCUGUCAGGUAUAGUUACGCAUUUCCUUGACUCCUGAGACCAGCACUUGGGUGGGAUCUCUUCAUGGAUUUUAGAUACUGAAUCAUUUUUGUUGUUGUUGUAUGUAAAUGGGACCUGUGGAGAAUGAUGGUAAUCCUGGAGCUGCUUGGACUGAAAUAAGAAAGAGGCCAGCUCUUAAAAGCACUCAAGUGGCACAAAAGAAGAACAUAUGGCAACAGAACUGGAUUCCGGCUCACCUUGGCAAAAAACAGUUUAAUGGAAUGACGUCAUUGUGUAGAUUAAAG